UCCUACGGGAGGCAGCAGUGAGGAAUAUUGGUCAAUGGUCGGGAGACUGAACCAGCCAAGCCGCGUGAGGGAGGAAGGUACAGAGUAUCGUAAACCUCUUUUGUCAGGGAACAAAGGCGGGGACGUGUCCCCGGAUGAGUGUGCCUGAAGAAAAAGCAUCGGCUAACUCCGUGCCAGCAGCCGCGGUAAUACGGAGGAUUCAAGCGUUAUCCGGAUUUACUGGGUGUAAAGGGCGUGUAGGCGGGACUGCAAGUCAGAU
RNAcentral lists this ribosomal RNA (259 nucleotides) under uncultured bacterium. RNAcentral's name for it is "partial 16S ribosomal RNA". It matches the Rfam family "Bacterial small subunit ribosomal RNA", at positions 337 to 593 of the family's 1533-position model. The record is from RNAcentral.